AAAUUGAAGAGUUUGAUCAUGGCUCAGAUUGAACGCUGGCGGCAGGCCUAACACAUGCAAGUCGAACGGUAACAGGAAGCAGCUUGCUGCUUUGCUGACGAGUGGCGGACGGGUGAGUAAUGUCUGGGAAACUGCCUGAUGGAGGGGGAUAACUACUGGAAACGGUGGCUAAUACCGCAUAACGUCGCAAGACCAAAGAGGGGGACCUUCGGGCCUCUUGCCAUCAGAUGUGCCCAGAUGGGAUUAGCUUGUUGGUGAGGUAACGGCUCACCAAGGCGACGAUCCCUAGCUGGUCUGAGAGGAUGACCAGCCACACUGGAACUGAGACACGGUCCAGACUCCUACGGGAGGCAGCAGUGGGGAAUAUUGCACAAUGGGCGCAAGCCUGAUGCAGCCAUGCCGCGUGUAUGAAGAAGGCCUUCGGGUUGUAAAGUACUUUCAGCGGGGAGGAAGGUGUUGUGGUUAAUAACCGCAGCAAUUGACGUUACCCGCAGAAGAAGCACCGGCUAACUCCGUGCCAGCAGCCGCGGUAAUACGGAGGGUGCAAGCGUUAAUCGGAAUUACUGGGCGUAAAGCGCACGCAGGCGGUCUGUCAAGUCGGAUGUGAAAUCCCCGGGCUCAACCUGGGAACUGCAUUCGAAACUGGCAGGCUUGAGUCUUGUAGAGGGGGGUAGAAUUCCAGGUGUAGCGGUGAAAUGCGUAGAGAUCUGGAGGAAUACCGGUGGCGAAGGCGGCCCCCUGGACAAAGACUGACGCUCAGGUGCGAAAGCGUGGGGAGCAAACAGGAUUAGAUACCCUGGUAGUCCACGCCGUAAACGAUGUCUACUUGGAGGUUGUGCCCUUGAGGCGUGGCUUCCGGAGCUAACGCGUUAAGUAGACCGCCUGGGGAGUACGGCCGCAAGGUUAAAACUCAAAUGAAUUGACGGGGGCCCGCACAAGCGGUGGAGCAUGUGGUUUAAUUCGAUGCAACGCGAAGAACCUUACCUGGUCUUGACAUCCACGGAAGUUUUCAGAGAUGAGAAUGUGCCUUCGGGAACCGUGAGACAGGUG
RNAcentral lists this ribosomal RNA (1050 nucleotides) under Salmonella enterica subsp. enterica. RNAcentral describes it as "bacterial SSU rRNA". It matches the Rfam family "Bacterial small subunit ribosomal RNA", at positions 1 to 1040 of the family's 1533-position model. Lineage: Bacteria; Pseudomonadati; Pseudomonadota; Gammaproteobacteria; Enterobacterales; Enterobacteriaceae. RNAcentral also lists the same sequence under 1 other name. The record is from RNAcentral.